GAUGAACGCUGGCGGCGUGCCUAAUACAUGCAAGUCGAGCGAACAGACGAGGAGCUUGCUCCUCUGACCUUAGCGGCGGACGGGUGAGUAACACGUGGAUAACCUACCUAUAAGACUGGGAUAACUUCGGGAAACCGGAGCUACUACCGGAUAAUAUAUUGAACCGCAUGGUUCAAUAGUGAAAGACGGUUUUGCUGUCACUUAUAGAUGGAUCCGCGCCGCAUUAGCUAGUUGGUAAGGUAACGGCUUACCAAGGCAACGAUGCGUAGCCGACCUGAGAGGGUGAUCGGCCACACUGGAACUGAGACACGGUCCAGACUCCUACGGGAGGCAGCAGUAGGGAAUCUUCCGCAAUGGGCGAAAGCCUGACGGAGCAACGCCGCGUGAGUGAUGAAGGUCUUCGGAUCGUAAAACUCUGUUAUUAGGGAAGAACAAAUGUGUAAGUAACUAUGCACGUCUUGACGGUACCUAAUCAGAAAGCCACGGCUAACUACGUG
This 497-nucleotide ribosomal RNA is filed under the name uncultured bacterium. RNAcentral's name for it is "partial 16S ribosomal RNA". It matches the Rfam family "Bacterial small subunit ribosomal RNA", at positions 28 to 507 of the family's 1533-position model. The record is from RNAcentral.